CAGCACAGUCAGGGCAGAGCGAGUUCCAGGUUAGAAAGGCACAGCACAGUCAGGGCAGAGCAAGUUCUAGCAUAGAAAGGCACAGCACAGUCAGGGCAGAGCAAGUUCUAGCAUAGAAAGGCACAGCACAGUCAGGGCAGAGCAAGUUCUAGCAUAGAAAGGCACAGCACAGUCAGGGCAGAGCGAGUUCUAGCAUAGAAAGGCUCUGCCCUGACUGUGCUGUGCAAGUUCUAGGUUAGAAAGGCACAGCACAGUCAGGGCAGAG
Molecule: long non-coding RNA, 265 nt
Organism: Brienomyrus brachyistius
Lineage: Eukaryota; Metazoa; Chordata; Actinopteri; Osteoglossiformes; Mormyridae
Exons: 3
Source: RefSeq, a predicted model, not a curated record